RNAcentral lists this ribosomal RNA (253 nucleotides) under uncultured bacterium. RNAcentral's name for it is "partial 16S ribosomal RNA". It matches the Rfam family "Bacterial small subunit ribosomal RNA", at positions 524 to 776 of the family's 1533-position model. The record is from RNAcentral.
UACGUAGGCAGCGAGCGUUGUUCGGAGUUACUGGGCGUAAAGAGUGCGUAGGCGGUUUUCUAAGUUUGGUGUGAAAUCUCCCGGCUUAACUGGGAGGGUGCGCCGAAGACUGGAAGGCUAGAGUAUGGGAGAGGUAAGCGGAAUUCCUGGUGUAGCGGUGAAAUGCGUAGAUAUCAGGAGGAACACCUGCGGUGUAGACGGCUUACUGGACCAUAACUGACGCUGAGGCACGAAAGCGUGGGUAGCAAACAGG